Molecule: long non-coding RNA, 3177 nt
Filed under: Olea europaea (common olive)
Lineage: Eukaryota; Viridiplantae; Streptophyta; Magnoliopsida; Lamiales; Oleaceae
Description: long non-coding RNA (OEUR_LNC000242)
Source: RNAcentral
AGCAUUUCAUCUACCUACAAAAUCAUCUAUCUACCACCAAAGCCAUUCAAAACACUAUUUUCAAUUUAACCAGUAUUCAUUUAGCAACUUGGUAUUUCCUAACCUAUCCAAAUCAUACAAAAGUCCGCCACUACCGUCAUCGAAGUAAUAAAUGCCGAAAAAGGUAAUUUACAUGUUUACAUUUAACGUUAGAAAGAUAUCAGUUCAUAGACAUGAAUCUCCAUGCACUGCAGAGAUCGCAUUCCAGCCUGCGCCAAAACAUGCAUCUCUCGGCAGUGGGAGAAUUUAGCAUAUUUUUGUUUCAUAUCUUUUUUGUUAAAUAAACAGUAUAAAUAAAUUAUUCCUUCUAUAAAUAACAAUUUAUUUUUGCUUAAAAAAAAUCCAUCAUUUUUUUUAAGUUUUAAAAUAAUAAACAAGAAAAUGAAUAUAUUCAGUCCGCACAGUGCAGUGUGCCUAAACACUCUGCAUAGCACAGAGUGUUUUCCCAAACACUAUGCUGUACGGAGUGUUUCCCCAAACACUCCCUCCCUCCGAGCGCCCAAACACUCCAUUACAUGUUUUACAGCAUUUUGUUCUCUUUCAUUUACAUUUUUUUUUAAUAAUUUCAUUUAACCUACAAAAGCAACAUAAAAAUCAUAUAAUAAAUCGUCCAUAAUUGAUAAAAAUUAGCUCAUUAAAAAACUCAAAUGAUAUUUUUGUAGAGUUGUAGUACAUGAGAUAUCAUUCAUCGUAAUGGGGAUCUUUUGCUAGCUUCUAUUUUUAAAUUUAUUUAUGAAGAUUAAGCUAGAUUUGUAUAUAAAAAAAUUUUAUGAUUAAAGAAUGGUUUUUUUGAUAAUUUUUGUAGAUGUCGUUACAAUACAUAUUGUCUCCAAAUCAAUGGUUCUCUGCUAUUAUUAGUCAAUUUACAAAUCAUCAAUAUCUUAAAGAUUUUGUAGAACUUAUAGAUGCAGAUGAUCAGGCCUCUUUAUUGUGCAGUCACUUUCAUGUAUUUAUUUAUGGAAGUAUGUAUAAGGCACAAAAAUAAAAAUUUAGUAGUAAAUUGAUACACGAGUUUAUAAUGAGACUUAUUGACUGUGGUAAAAAUAAUGAAGUUUGGUGCGAUCAGAUAAUCGUGUGGCCCGUUUUGGCAUGCAAUAAUUUUGUCUAAUCAUUGGAUUACCAUGCCAUAAAGUUAUUGUUAAUCUCGAUUUUAGUAAUACUCGACUUAGGGAUGAGUACUUCAAUGGUACAAAAAAGAAUUACUAUGAAAAGACUUUCUGAAGGAUUCCACAUAUGUCAAGAUCUAGAAGAUAAAUUUAAGUUGCGAUUAGUUAUAUCCGUGGAAUGUAUUUUGAAACCAACUAGAAGGUACAUCGAUUAUAGAACUCUUAGAAUGGUUGAACAAUUUGAUGAGUUUCUUAUGUAUCCAUGGGGCCGCAAGACAUAUUUUAUUUUAUUAAAUUCAUUGCAAGAAUCAUAGCUCGAAAGAGUAUAAAAGGUACAAUAAAAUAACCAAACAGAUUAUAAAUAUUCCUCAAAAGGUUAUCCAUUUGCAUUUCAGGUAUUUUUCUUUUAUUUUUAUUUUUUGCUUAUUAUGUAUAAUCUAAUUGUAUAAAAAAAUUAAUAUUUAUUUUUACUUAUAUUGCAGUAUUGGAUAUAUGAAGCUUUUUCUCAAAUUAGAAAAUAAUUUGGACGUAAUACACAUAGAAAAUGCAAUAUCCAUGAAUGCAUAAAUGGAAUCCAAAAAUAGUAUUAACAGAACAAAUCAUUAAACAAUUUCUGGCUACUCAAGAGGUAUGAUUUAUUUAAAUCUACAAUUAAAUGUGUAUUUAAUUAUUUAUAAACGAAUUUAAAAAAAUAAAUCUAAUAUUUUAUUACAAUUAUAGAUUGAAGUAAUUGCAGUACUGCAUCCUACUGAAGAAGAAUUGAAAACAUUCUGGUAUACAAAUCAUUGACAACCAACAUUGUAUACCUGAUGGCAUUGUCAAUGGCGAAUUUGAAAAUGUAACACAAUAGAUUCCUAUUGAUAACAUACAUAUGCAAGAAACAAUUGUUGGCACUUCAGUUGGAAUUGGAUCUAUUUCUUCUGGUGGUUCAAACUAUGUAACUAAAGAAGAUAUGGACCAAACAUUCAAUAUUUAUAGACAACAUGUAGUGUCAAAUGUAUCUGGUUUGUAUGAUAGCUUAAAAACACAAAUGGUUGAAAAAUCGAGAAAAUAAGAAGCACGCUAUAUCAUGCAAUUCUUGAAAAUCCAAAAGCUCACUACCAGACGAUUCUUGACAACUAGAAACAAUAUUUGAAUAUCAGCAAAAAGGCCAAUAAGGCUACUUCCAAGGUAUGCAAUCUUAUGUGGAUACCAAUUUCAGUUCAACGAAAUCGUACAUUGAUGAACAAAAUUAGAAUAUGCUGAAUCAAUUGUCUGACUGGAAAUCAUACAUGGAAACAAUUGUAGGCUCUAUACAACGAGAUGUUCCUGCCUAUACAAGUUCAAUUGAAUUCGAAAACCCUUCAACAUCUGAACAUAUUGAAAAUGUUGAAAGGUUGACGAAAAAAAGGAGGUAAGAAAAAACAAACACAAUCUCCAUCAACAGUGCUGACUAAUACUUUAAAAGAAACUAUAACAACAACAAGUACGAAAAAAUUAGAGAUUUGAUAUUACAAAAUCCAUCAGGAUGGGAGAUCCAAUAUUACUUUAUUAGCUUAAAUAUUAUAAUUUAUAUUUUAUUCAUUUAACACCAAUUUAAAUUUUCUUAUAUAGUACGUAUUGGGAUGAUGGAGCCGGCAAUCUCUACGAAAGACAAAUGCUAAGAGAUAUAAUUUAUCAAACGAAAGAUAUAAAUAUUAUAGUAAGUAAAAUUUAGUAAUCAUAAUUCAUUUUAUUCCAUUAUUAAUAUAUAUAAUUUACACUUUUUUUUAUUAGAAUAUUGAUACAGAAUUAAAGCUAUUGAGGAGGCUUAUUAACGGCGAUUCUCCCCCCGUUUCUAAAGAAUAUGCAAUCAUGGACCAUAGAUUCGAAACUGAAUGUGUUCAUUGGCAAAUGAAUAUGCAAGAAGGAAUUGGCAAUCUGCAACUAAUUUGAACAUAUUACAACAGUACAUAAAUGGAAAAUUGUCAUUAUCUCCUCAUCUGUGGAUAACAUGUAACUAUUUAUUAAUUCCAUUUGCAUAUCUAGGCAACACUUGAUUUCUUUUUCUUGU